RNAcentral lists this transfer RNA (82 nucleotides) under Echinostoma caproni. It matches the Rfam family "tRNA". From Rfam's summary of the family: Transfer RNA (tRNA) molecules are approximately 80 nucleotides in length. Their secondary structure includes four short double-helical elements and three loops (D, anti-codon, and T loops). Lineage: Eukaryota; Metazoa; Platyhelminthes; Trematoda; Plagiorchiida; Echinostomatidae. The record is from Rfam by way of RNAcentral.
UGCCUCGUAGCUCAGCUGGUAGAGCGUGCGCGUACAAAGCGUAGGCGGCGUCAAUGCGUGGGUUCGAAUCCCACGGAAGCUA